RNAcentral lists this long non-coding RNA (2482 nucleotides) under Olea europaea subsp. europaea. The record is from RNAcentral. Lineage: Eukaryota; Viridiplantae; Streptophyta; Magnoliopsida; Lamiales; Oleaceae.
AUUUUGUUAACUAGCUACAUAAUAUAUUUUAAGAGUACCUUAUAGUAUGUUGUAUUGUCGGUCCAAAGGUGGCUUUACAAUGAUGCAUCUAGGCUCUUACCGUAAUGAAAUUCAUAUGUUUCGAGUUAAAUUACGAAUUAUCUGAUUAAUAGCCCAUAUUAAUUAGUUGGAUAUUAUAUCAUCCAUUUGAUUGCAUGUAUUACGUUUAGAUGAUAUUGAGUGUGAUAUGUUAUGCUUCCACAGUUUAUAAUGCCUCAUCUCUUUCGAAUCAAUUGUCUGCUAUUGAGACUUUGACUGGGAAUAACUAUGUGAAAUGGAAACGAGACGUAGAAAUAGCACUUGGUCUUUUGGGCUUGAAUUUUGCAAUGGAGAAAAAGCUUGAAAAACCCACAGAUAAGAGUACCAUUGAAUAUGUAGUCGAGUAUGAAAAGUUGGAAAAGGCUAACAAACUCUGUUUGAAAAUCAUUAAGCGAUCGAUAUCUGAUUCCAUUCUAGGUGUCAUCCCUGAUAAUGAAAAUGCCAAAAGUUUUAUGGAUGACAUAGGAGAAAAAUUUGUUGAGUCUGAUAAAGUCGAAACUGGGGAUCUGAUGGAUAAAUUGAUGAGCAUGAAAUAUGAUGGCACAAGUGGUGUUAGGGAGCAUGUCAUGAAAAUGAUAAAUAUAUCAUCUAAACUAAAGGCUCUUGACAUUCCCAUUGCGGCACCUUUCCUGGUCUAUCAUGUUUUGAAUAGUCUUCCUAGCAAGUUUAAUCAACUUAAAGUUGCUUAUAAUGGUCAGCAGGAUAAAUGAAAUUUGAAUGAUCUCAUAGCAGUGUGUGCCCAAGAAGAGUAUAGGAUGCGCCGUGAAACUGUUGAAACUGUGCAAUUAGCUUUUCAGCCAUCACAGAAUAAGGGGCCUUCUCAUAAUCAUAAACCUAAGGUAAUAAGUCCCAUCGAAGUCAGCAAAAUAAAAAUUUUGGUGGUCCCAAAGCAGUUAGAAAGAAAAAUGAUCAAUGCAAGUUCUAUAAAAAGAAGGGUCACUGGUAGAAAGACUGUUUUAAGUUCAAGACUUGGUUGGAAAAGAAGAGGAGUUCUCCAGGUAUUCCCUUGGCCUUAGUUUGUUUUGAGUCUUCUUUAAUAGAUGUGCCUUUGAAUUCUUGAUGGUUAGAAUCGGGAGUUAGUAUUCAUAUUGCGAAUUCCUUGCAGGGGUUCACAAGGAAAUGGAGGCUAAGUGAGAAUGAAGUAAGCUUGAGCAUUGCAAAUGGAUUUCAAGUGAAGGUUGAAUUCAUAGAAGUAGUGAAGUUAACUUUAGAGUCUGAUUUUUAUCUUAUUUUGGAAAAUACAGUUUAUGUACCGCAAAUGAGAUGGAAUUUAAUUUCUAUACCGAAACUUGAUGCUUGUGGUUUUACAUUUAAUUUUGGUAAUGGAAUGGUUAAGUUAUUUAAUGAUUCUCAUUUGAUUGGAAAUGACAUUUUAUAUGAUGGUUUAUAUAAAUUAUCUUUAGCUCCUUUUGGUGAUGUCUUGUGUGUUACAAAUGUAUCAAAGAAAAGAACUUUAAUUCGUGAAUCAUCCUCUAUGUUGUGGCAUAAGAGUUUGGGUCAUAUCUCUAAGGAUAGAAUGGAAAGAUUAGUAAAAGAUGAGAUACUUCCAUCUUUAGACUUCUCCGAUUUUAACACUUGUGUAGAUUGUAUAAGAGGAAAGUUAACUAAGUCUACAAGGAAGGGUUCGACUAGGAGUAAUGAAAUUUUGGACUUGAUUCACACUGAUAUCAGUGGACCUUUGCCUUCCACUAUAUGUGGGAAUAAAUAUUUCAUAACUUUCAUUGAUGAUUUCUCACGAUAUGAAUAUGUUUACUUGAUUAACGACAAAUCACAAGCACUUGAGAAAUUCAAAGUUUUCAAACUGGAAGUAGAGAAACAAUGUAAGAAAAGUAUCAAUGUUGUAAGAUCUGAUCGAGGUAGUGAGUACUAUGAAAAAUAUGACGAAUCUGGUCAAAGCAUGGGUGAUUUUGCAAAGUUUUUACAAGAGUGUGGAAUAGUGCCCCAAUACACCAUGCCAGGGAAACCUAAGCAAAAUGGUGUUUCUGAAAGACGUAAUCGAACUUUAAAAGAUAUGGUUAGAAGUAUGAUGAGUAGAACAAAUUUGCCUGAAUAUUUGUGGGGUGAAGCCUUGAAAACUGCUAUAUAUAUUUUGAACAGAGUUUUAAGUAAAGCUAUUGCAAAGACACCGUUUGAAUUAUGGACAGGAUGUAAGCCAAGUAUAGAUCACUUUAAAGUUUGGGGAUAUCCAGUUGAGGUUAGGAUUUAUAAUCCAUUUGAAAGGAAAUUAGACCAUAAAUCAACUCCUGAAUACUUUAUUGGGUAUCCGGAUAGAUCAAAGGGAUAUAAGUUUUACUGUCCAAAUCGCGGCACUAGAAUUGUGGAGUCCAUUACUGCUAAGUUUCUGGAGAACGAUUUUGGAGAUAGUGGGAGUUCCACGUUGAGAGAAAUUCUUGUUGAACCUAAC